Molecule: ribosomal RNA, 277 nt
Filed under: uncultured bacterium
Lineage: Bacteria
Description: partial 16S ribosomal RNA
Rfam family: Bacterial small subunit ribosomal RNA
Source: RNAcentral
GAUGAACGCUGGCGGCGUGCUUAAUACAUGCAAGUCGAACGGGGUAGCAAUACCUAGUGGCGACCGGGUGAGUAACACGUAGCUGAUCUGCCCUUCGACGGGGGACAACAGUCCGAAAGGAUUGCUAAUACCGCAUACAUUUGAAGUGAUUAGAAGGCUUCAAAGAAACUUACGGGGUCGAAGGAGGAGGCUGCGGCCCAUCAGGUAGUUGGUGCGGUAACGGCGCACCAAGCCGACGACGGGUAGGGGACCUGAGAGGGUGACCCCCCACACUGGG